AUAAACCGGAGGAAGGUGGGGACGACGUCAAGUCAGCAUGGCCUUUAUGUCCGGGGCGACACACACGCUACAAUGGCCGGUACAGAGGGUAGCCACGCCGCGAGGCGGAGCGAAUCCCAAAAGCCGGUCUCAGUUCGGAUCGCAGUCUGCAACUCGACUGCGUGAAGGCGGAGUUGCUAGU
This is a ribosomal RNA of Ardenticatena maritima, 181 nucleotides long. It matches the Rfam family "Bacterial small subunit ribosomal RNA", at positions 1158 to 1339 of the family's 1533-position model. The record is from Rfam. NCBI's taxonomy places the organism in Bacteria, Bacillati, Chloroflexota, Ardenticatenia, Ardenticatenales, Ardenticatenaceae.